RNAcentral lists this ribosomal RNA (492 nucleotides) under uncultured bacterium. RNAcentral describes it as "partial 16S ribosomal RNA". It matches the Rfam family "Bacterial small subunit ribosomal RNA", at positions 29 to 507 of the family's 1533-position model. The record is from RNAcentral.
AGUGAACGCUGGCGGUAGGCCUAACACAUGCAAGUCGAACGGCAGCACAGUAAGAGCUUGCUCUUACGGGUGGCGAGUGGCGGACGGGUGAGGAAUACAUCGGAAUCUACUUUUUCGUGGGGGAUAACGUAGGGAAACUUACGCUAAUACCGCAUACGACCUACGGGUGAAAGCAGGGGAUCUUCGGACCUUGCGCGAUUGAAUGAGCCGAUGCCGGAUUAGCUAGUUGGCGGGGUAAAGGCCCACCAAGGCGACGAUCCGUAGCUGGUCUGAGAGGAUGAUCAGCCACACUGGAACUGAGACACGGUCCAGACUCCUACGGUAGGCAGCAGUGGGGAAUAUUGGACAAUGGGCGCAAGCCUGAUCCAGCCAUACCGCGUGGGUGAAGAAGGCCUUCGGGUUGUAAAGCCCUUUUGUUGGGAAAGAAAAGCAGCAGGUUGAUACCCCGCUGUUCUGACGGUACCCAAAGAAUAAGCACCGGCUAACUUCGUG